CGGACGGGUGAGUAAUGUAUGGGGAUCUGCCUGAUGGCGGGGGAUAACUACUGGAAACGGUAGCUAAUACCGCGUAAUGUCUGCGGACCAAAGCGGGGGACCUCCGGGCCUCGCGCCAUCAGAUGAACCCAUAUGGGAUUAGCUAGUAGGUAAGGUAACGGCUUACCUAGGCGACGAUCCCUAGCUGGUCUGAGAGGAUGAUCAGCCACACUGGGACUGAGACACGGCCCAG
This 232-nucleotide ribosomal RNA is filed under the name uncultured bacterium. Its description in RNAcentral is "partial 16S ribosomal RNA". It matches the Rfam family "Bacterial small subunit ribosomal RNA", at positions 99 to 334 of the family's 1533-position model. The record is from RNAcentral.